AAUCAACGCUGGCGGCGUGCCUCAGACAUGCAAGUCGAACGCGAAAGUUUCCUUCGGGAGACAAGUAGAGUGGCGCACGGGUGAGUAACACGUAGGUAAUCUACCUUUGGAUGGGGAAUAACAACCGGAAACGGUUGCUAAUACCGCAUAAUGCAGCGGCACCUAAUGGUGACAGUUGUUAAAGCGGGGGAUCGAAAGACCUCGCGUCUGAAGAGGAGCCUGCGGCGGAUUAGCAGUUGGUAAGGUAAUGGCUUACCAAGGCUACGAUCCGUAACCGGCCUGAGAGGGCGGUCGGUCACACUGACACUGACAUACGGGUCAGACUCCUACGGGAGGCAGCAGUCGGGAAUUUUGGGCAAUGGGCGAAAGCCUGACCCAGCAACGCCGCGUGAAGGAUGAAA
RNAcentral lists this ribosomal RNA (401 nucleotides) under uncultured bacterium. Its description in RNAcentral is "bacterial SSU rRNA". It matches the Rfam family "Bacterial small subunit ribosomal RNA", at positions 32 to 413 of the family's 1533-position model. The record is from RNAcentral.